CGGACGGGUGAGUAAUGCGUGAGCAACCUGCCUACAAAUGGGGAAUAACACACCGAAAGGUGUGCUAAUACCGCAUAACAUAGCGUCUUGGCAUCAAGAUGUUAUCAAAGAUUUUAUCGUUUGUAGAUGGGCUCGCGUCUGAUUAGCUAGUUGGUGAGGUAAUGGCUCACCAAGGCGACGAUCAGUAGCCGAACUGAGAGGUUGAUCGGCCACAUUGGGACUGAGACACGGCCCAGACUCCUACGGGAGGCAGCAGUGGGGAAUAUUGGGCAAUGGGCGCAAGCCUGACCCAGCAACGCCGCGUGAAGGAUGAAGGUCUUCGGAUUGUAAACUUUUGUCUUAUGGGAAGAAAAAAAUGACGGUACCAUAGGAGGAAGCUCCGGCUAACUACGUGCCAGCAGCCGCGGUAAUACGUAGGGAGCAAGCGUUGUCCGGAUUUACUGGGUGUAAAGGGCGUGUAGGCGGGUAAUUAAGUCUGAUGUGAAAUACCGAGGCUCAACCUCGGGGCUGCAUUGGAAACUGAUUAUCUUGAGUGUGGGAGAGGAAAGUGGAAUUCCUAGUGUAGCGGUGAAAUGCGUAGAUAUUAGGAGGAACACCAGUGGCGAAGGCGACUUUCUGGACCAUAACUGACGCUGAGGCGCGAAAGCGUGGGGAGCAAACAGGAUUAGAUACCCUGGUAGUCCACGCUGUAAACGAUGAAUACUAGGUGUAGGGGGUAUCGAAUCCUCCUGUGCCGGAGUUAACACAAUAAGUAUUCCACCUGGGGAGUACGACCGCAAGGUUGAAACUCAAAGGAAUUGACGGGGGCCCGCACAAGCAGUGGAGUAUGUGGUUUAAUUCGAAG
This 844-nucleotide ribosomal RNA is filed under the name uncultured microorganism. RNAcentral describes it as "bacterial SSU rRNA". It matches the Rfam family "Bacterial small subunit ribosomal RNA", at positions 99 to 956 of the family's 1533-position model. The record is from RNAcentral.